UACAGAGGGUGCAAGCGUUACUCGGAAUUACUGGGCGUAAAGCGCGCGUAGGUGGUUUGUUAAGUUGGAUGUGAAAGCCCCGGGCUCAACCUGGGAACUGCAUUCAAAACUGACAAGCUAGAGUAUGGUAGAGGGUGGUGGAAUUUCCUGUGUAGCGGUGAAAUGCGUAGAUAUAGGAAGGAACACCAGUGGCGAAGGCGGCUCACCGGCCCGAUACUGACGCUGAGGUGCGAAAGCUAGGGGAGCAAACGGG
Molecule: ribosomal RNA, 253 nt
Filed under: uncultured bacterium
Lineage: Bacteria
Description: partial 16S ribosomal RNA
Rfam family: Bacterial small subunit ribosomal RNA
Source: RNAcentral